UACGUAGGGACCGAGCGUUGUCCGGAAUCAUUGGGCGUAAAGAGCGUGUAGGCGGCUCGCUAAGUCUUGCGUGAAAUCUCGGGGCUCAACCCCGAGCGGUCGUGAGUAACUGGCGGGCUAGAGUGCGGGAGAGGAGAGUGGAAUUCCUGGUGUAGCGGUGAAAUGCGCAGAUAUCAGGAAGAACACCCGUGGCGAAGGCGGCUCUCUGGAACGCAACUGACGCUGAGACGCGAAAGCGUGGGGAGCAAACAGG
This 253-nucleotide ribosomal RNA is filed under the name uncultured bacterium. RNAcentral describes it as "partial 16S ribosomal RNA". It matches the Rfam family "Bacterial small subunit ribosomal RNA", at positions 524 to 776 of the family's 1533-position model. The record is from RNAcentral.